This is a long non-coding RNA of Lates calcarifer (barramundi perch), 3948 nucleotides long. RefSeq lists it as uncharacterized. The record is from RefSeq and is a predicted model, not a curated record. NCBI's taxonomy places the organism in Eukaryota, Metazoa, Chordata, Actinopteri, Centropomidae. The transcript is spliced from 2 exons.
GCGCUGGUGAAAUCGGCGCGAGUAUCAUUAGAAUAGUUUGUUUUCCAGUGAUAGACAUGGCUAGUUAGCUUGUAGCGGCUAUCGCCGUAGCGUUAGCCCCGCAGGUAAACACUCAGCUUGACAGGGGGAGAGGACGACGUACAGCCGUGGCGUUUUCAGAAAACCCGUUUGCUAUAAGUGGCUGUCAGCCCGGGAUUACACGGUUAACGCCAAGUUAAUACGAUGAGCUUAGGUUAUCCGCACUGUCAACACCGUGGUGGAAUUAGCUCGACACAGGCAAUGUCGGUAGUAUGCGUUUAGAUUAUGAGUAACGUUUCUCAGCGACGAAUUUCUACACUACAACAAACACAGGUGAGCUGGGCGUUAGCUGUUUGCACGGCUAGUGGGGCUGUAAGCUAUUGUUAAAGGCAAAAGAAAGUUGUCUGUUUAGUAUCAGCACGGUUGAAUAACAACACAAUUAGGAGCUGCAGUAACUCAACAAAUGUUUUCUCUGUAGUUAGCAACCGUUCGCGUUGGCAGCAAGCAUACCAAGCAGUGACAGUUAAUUGUCAAACUGACACUGUGUGUUGUGGCAUUUCCUUCUCAUUUAACUUAAACUUCAGGGAAAGUCUGAGACGUUUAUACACAGCUGUCUAGUCGCCAGGCUGUCACUCAGAAUAGCUCCCUUCUCUUGUCAGACACAAACAACUGGCCCAACAUAGGCCUGCCUUGAAAUAUUAAUAGGGUGUCUUGAGUCCAUUGUAGCUGGACAGUGGUUGUAGGUAUUAGCCUCGGCUUUGUGAUCAUUCGUGACAAGCCGUUUCUUAAGGGUGACUUGGCGAUGACAUUGUAGUUUUGCUACAGAUCCCACGUGAUGCAGUUUCUCAAUGCACGCUGGUUCCUUGACUUUAAAUAGAUAGACUCCUUGCCGUGACAUUUGCUGACAAGAAGACAGACUGCAGGGUCCACCUCACCUGAGCGGCAGGUGACCUGACCACAUCUCGGCACCUCUCCAGUAGUUUUAAGUGCAAGUUUAGCCUUGGUAAUGAGGCUUCAGCUGCCACUGCACUAUUCUGCCUGUCUGACAGGGAGUACCGAUUUCUGUGUUAAGUGCAGUCAGGUGUUAAACUUCAGCUUGACAGUAGCUCUUUGUAAUGUUGCUCUCUGCUAACCUUUAGUCUGAAGUGAGUGAUGGGCUUGUGUUGGGCUACGCUGUGUUGAGUUGUUGAGUUUACAUAAGGUGAUGUCAACAACUGACUUCCAGCUUUAAAACAUAUGGGGCCCUUUCAGUCAACGCCCGUCGUCGUCAUCAUCAUCAUCAUCAUCAUCAUCAUCCAAGAUCUUACACAAGAGCACUGCUGACUCUCUGCUAAGAAGCCAAGCCUCCACAGCCUCAUCGCCUCAUCACACAGCCCUACUGAUAGCCUCCACAUUCACUGCUGCUGCUCGCUGGCACCAUUGACGUCAGACCAGACUUACAUUACCCAUUUGAACUACAUUCAAAUACUUUCUCAGGGAAUGAUUGCAUUGAGCACGAAGGACUUGGACAGGAGUUCCAAAUGUUAUCCCUCUACAUUUGCAUUUGCACUUUAAUGCACAUAUCUUAAAAAAUAAGAAACUGACUGUCUAAAUAAAAGCAGUUUUUGAGCUGCAGUAUUCAUUAAAAAUGAUAUAGGAAUUUGCCUAUUAACCUAGGACUUAAACUACUCCGGCCCUUGUAUUUACAACAGUACUUGGAGGAAACGCUGCCUACAGUUAGCUCUGUCAAGCACAAACCUGGCCCACAUGCACUGAAUCAGGCUUGACGUAAUUCAAAAUGUCAAAAUAAUUUAGCCAGCUCUGACUGAUGUGUCUGACAGUGUGCUCUUGGGUCUGGCUUACAAAGGUCUGUGUUGUCAGCUAGAGAGGUUUAGUGAGUUGCUGCUGCUUCAGGUUCAUCCGGACAGACUGUGUUAUCACAUUGUUAUCUUGUGUGUAUAUAAUACAGUCGCCUGUUAGCACAUAGCUUAGGCUUGGUGGUAAUAAAUGUGUCACUAAUGACUGCAGUGGGCUGCUGAAAGCUUCUGAACAAUGCCAACAGUGGAGUAACUGCCUUCUCUGUGAUUACUGUGUGGGUGAAAGAUAAACAGUGUAGAUGUGUUUCUAAAGGUCAAGCUGUUCAUUGAAGUUUGCAUCAAAGUCAGUACCUAGAGUUUAAUUAGUUUUUCUUGUAAAUGGUGACAACAUCAUAGCUUAUGACUGUGUCCUGUAUUGUAGUUGCUUUAGAAGUGUCAGGACAUUACCAUUCAUUUAUGAUAGUCAAAGUUUGUGGCAGGGAGUAAACUGUCUUGUGAGUAGCAGUCCUUUGUAUCUCUACCAGUCCUAGCUCUGCUGCAAUAGUAAGCAUCUUCUUUGGCUAGACUCAGUUCUCUUCCUAUAGUCCUAACCCUGCUAUUAGUGACUUUGUUCGAGCCAGUUAUGACUUGAAAAAGAGGGGGUAGUCCAGCCAGUUUGGACACAUUCUGCAGCCCAUACACCAGUUUGUGCACUCAAGAGAUCUUGGCAUUGUAGUGUAGAGAAAUAUUUCAGACAGAGAAUGCUAUGAAAUCAUCACAGAGCGAUGAAAGCAAAUACUAAUGGUGCUUACUUUCAUCCAAAAUAAUAAGCUUGUGAGAAUGAAAUGGUUUCUACUGUAAAGAAAAAAAUGUGUGCUCCCUUACUAUGCUGUCAGGCCAGAUGAUUCAACAAAAAAGAAAAACGCUUCAGUCUGCAGCACCUUACGUAACUAAUACAAUUAAAUACAUCAGCCAUGGAUCAAAAUACGGUAGGGUGCAGGGGAGAGAGCUGAUUAUUCACCACAUGUAAUACAAGGGUUGUAGAGUCAUCAUGUUGUUGCAGCUGAUGUGAACAUGUUCUAAUAUUUCCUGCCCCUGAUUUCUCCUGUAACCAGGUUUGUAAAUGAAGUGACUAUCUCUGUCUUAUACUCCAAGGUGUGCUCGUUGUUCUAAUAGCGCAAUGACCCAUAUGUUUAAAACCAGUUCUGCUGUCUUGUCUCGGCCUACACUCUGACAGAUCUUAGCCUGUCUAGUAGGCUGUAGGUUUACAGUGAGCAAAUAAAGUCAGGGUCAGUAGGUCCUGCUGACAGCCAUCAGCAUCGGGUUUUCAUUUUCCCAGAGUGCCGUGUGGUUCUCGGCUGGUGUGUUAAUCAGGGGGUAUCACAAGCUGAUCUGCAUGAUCUGAACCGGAGCCAGUCAAGUCAUUUUUUUUAAUUGACUGUUAUCAGCUUUAUGAAGCCUGAUCAGAUUCAGAUCCUUUGUUUGUUGUAACCCAUCAUGCUGUGGGUACACCAUGGAGCAGCACAAACAAUAGUGGGCAGUUUGAAUAGAGAUAUCCACACUGACAGGGACUGUCAACAAGCAAAGCUAGCUGAGCAACAUCUAAUAUGAGACUACAGCAGCUAUUGUCAAAAACAUGUAUAUUAAUGCAGAUACUGUAUGGAUUUAGUAGGCUGAGUGCAAUAUGUGGACAAUAUCAGACUUUUCUUUGUAAUAUAUUUCUUACAGUAAGUUUAGUUUAUUACAGAGUUUAGAACAAUGACUUUCCUUUGCAUUUAAAUUGAAGUAUUGAAUGUUCAUCCUACUUUAGAGGUAGAAUACUACAUGUGUAUUAAUUUUCAUAACCUGAUUCACCCCUCCUGUAGAGAUGUCUAGAUGCAAUGCUGUAGCAUGUUCAGCCUGCCCACUGCUAUACACUGGGCACUUGGUAUCCCAGUCACUAAUCUUUUUGGUGCUGAUACUUGUUAUCAGGGACUGGAAACAAAAGAAAACUUCAUCAGGACAUCCUAGUCAUGAGGCAUGCUUGUGCAUUUUGGCAGCAGCACAGCCUUAAAAUUUUUGUUGAACAAAAACUGUUGUACUGAGCGGAAUGUAGUUCCUAUAUCUGAUCAUACAUUAAUCAUUAAAUUAAUUCAAUUAGUGAUUAAAUUCUUAA